This 1345-nucleotide ribosomal RNA is filed under the name uncultured bacterium. Its description in RNAcentral is "bacterial SSU rRNA". It matches the Rfam family "Bacterial small subunit ribosomal RNA", at positions 28 to 1381 of the family's 1533-position model. The record is from RNAcentral.
GAUGAACGCUAUUGGGAGGCCUAACACAUGCAAGCCGAGCGGUAGAGAUCUUUCGGGAUCUUGAGAGCGGCGUACGGGUGCGGAACACGUGUGCAACCUGCCUUUAUCAGGGGGAUAGCCUUUCGAAAGGAAGAUUAAUACCCCAUAAUAUAUUGAAUGGCAUCAUUUGAUAUUGAAAACUCCGGUGGAUAGAGAUGGGCACGCGCAAGAUUAGAUAGUUGGUAGGGUAACGGCCUACCAAGUCAGUGAUCUUUAGGGGGCCUGAGAGGGUGAUCCCCCACACUGGUACUGAGACACGGACCAGACUCCUACGGGAGGCAGCAGUGAGGAAUAUUGGACAAUGGGUGAGAGCCUGAUCCAGCCAUCCCGCGUGAAGGACGACGGCCCUAUGGGUUGUAAACUUCUUUUGUAUAGGGAUAAACCUUUCCACGUGUGGAAAGCUGAAGGUACUAUACGAAUAAGCACCGGCUAACUCCGUGCCAGCAGCCGCGGUAAUACGGAGGGUGCAAGCGUUAUCCGGAUUUAUUGGGUUUAAAGGGUCCGUAGGCGGAUCUGUAAGUCAGUGGUGAAACCUCAUAGCUUAACUAUGAAACUGCCAUUGAUACUGCAGGUCUUGAGUAAAGUAGAAGUGGCUGGAAUAAGUAGUGUAGCGGUGAAAUGCAUAGAUAUUACUUAGAACACCAAUUGCGAAGGCAGGUCACUAUGUUUUAACUGACGCUGAUGGACGAAAGCGUGGGGAGCGAACAGGAUUAGAUACCCUGGUAGUCCACGCCGUAAACGAUGCUAACUCGUUUUUGGGUUUUCGGAUUCAGAGACUAAGCGAAAGUGAUAAGUUAGCCACCUGGGGAGUACGUUCGCAAGAAUGAAACUCAAAGGAAUUGACGGGGGCCCGCACAAGCGGUGGAUUAUGUGGUUUAAUUCGAUGAUACGCGAGGAACCUUACCAAGGCUUAAAUGGGAAUUGACAGGUUUAGAAAUAGACUUUUCUUCGGACAAUUUUCAAGGUGCUGCAUGGUUGUCGUCAGCUCGUGCCGUGAGGUGUUAGGUUAAGUCCUGCAACGAGCGCAACCCCUGUCACUAGUUGCCAUCAUUCAGUUGGGGACUCUAGUGAGACUGCCUACGCAAGUAGAGAGGAAGGUGGGGAUGACGUCAAAUCAUCACGGCCCUUACGCCUUGGGCCACACACGUAAUACAAUGGCCGGUACAGAGGGCAGCUACCUAGCGAUAGGAUGCGAAUCUCGAAAGCCGGUCUCAGUUCGGAUUGGAGUCUGCAACUCGACUCUAUGAAGCUGGAAUCGCUAGUAAUCGCAUAUCAGCCAUGAUGCGGUGAAUACGUUCCCGGGCCU